Molecule: ribosomal RNA, 500 nt
Filed under: uncultured bacterium
Lineage: Bacteria
Description: partial 16S ribosomal RNA
Rfam family: Bacterial small subunit ribosomal RNA
Source: RNAcentral
AUUGAACGCUGGCGGCAGGCCUAACACAUGCAAGUCGAGCGGAUGAGUGGAGCUUGCUCCAUGAUUCAGCGGCGGACGGGUGAGUAAUGCCUAGGAAUCUGCCUGGUAGUGGGGGACAACGUUUCGAAAGGAACGCUAAUACCGCAUACGUCCUACGGGAGAAAGCAGGGGACCUUCGGGCCUUGCGCUAUCAGAUGAGCCUAGGUCGGAUUAGCUAGUUGGUGAGGUAACGGCUCACCAAGGCGACGAUCCGUAACUGGUCUGAGAGGAUGAACAGUCACACUGGAACUGAGACACGGUCCAGACUCCUACGGGAGGCAGCAGUGGGGAAUAUUGGACAAUGGGCGAAAGCCUGAUCCAACCAUGCCGCGUGUGUGAAGAAGGUCUUCGGAUUGUAAAGCACUUUAAGUUGGGAGGAAGGGCAGUAAGUUAAUACCUUGCUGUUUUGACGUUACCGACAGAAUAAGCACCGGCUAACUUCGUGCCAGCAGCCGCCGUAA